UCUCCAGCUUUAUUCCAUGCACAAAUGAGACGGAUACUGUCACCAUUUUCUAAACCAAAUGUUCUAUUUCAAUAUGUAGAUGAUCUGUGUUUAGCAACACAGACGAAAGAGGAGCAUUUAGAAAGACUUGACGAGCUCCUGCAAAUUCUAAAAGAAGCAGGAUUAAAGUGCAAUCCAGCCAAGGCUCAGCUAAUGGCUAAUUGUGUCUCUUUCUUGGGCCUCACCCUGACAAAAUGGGGUAGAACCCCAGCGCAACAGAAGGUGUAUGCAAUCCAAACAUUGCCUUUACCACAGGAACCUACGGCUUUAAGAGCUUUCCUAGGUUUAACUGGGUACCACAGGGAUUUCAUCCCUAAUUUUGCUUCUAUUGCAGGUCCUUUGUACCAACUUCUAAAGAAAGGUGUACAGUGGGAAUGGUCUGAGCAACACACGGAGGCAGUAUCCCAACUAAAACAGGCCAUUAUCAAGGCUCCGGUGUUGAUCACACCAAAUCCUGAAAUACCCUAUCAUCUGGAGGUAGCGGUCGCAGGAGCAACUUCCUCCUCAGGACUUAAGUGAUCAGACGAAAUCGCAACAACUGGAGCCCAGCAGUUUGCAACCAUGAAAUUGACAUUGACAUUUUUGACUUAUUACACCCUUAUUGUUGCUCUAAGGGUAGGACUAUGCCAAAAUAUUAAGUCUGAAACCGAACUAUUGCAACCCCAGGAAACCAGACGACCGGAUCACACUCAGUUGUCUGAGCCCAAGCAACAGAACAUACCAACAAAGAAGGAACGGACUAUUAUACUUAAUCCAGAACUGGUCAACAACCCGAUUCAACAGGUUAAGGGAAUUCGGGGGGAGGAUGUUAUUUUUGAAUAUCAAUUAGUAGAAGUAACUACCCUCUAGUGGUUGGAAAAAGAUGUGUUAAUUGCUUUUAAAGUUGAUUGCUUUAAACAAUGAUCAGAAAAGAGAUCAGCAUUUGG
Molecule: long non-coding RNA, 965 nt
Organism: Mauremys reevesii (Reeves's turtle)
Lineage: Eukaryota; Metazoa; Chordata; Testudines; Geoemydidae
Exons: 2
Source: RefSeq, a predicted model, not a curated record